CAGUCGCCGCGGUAAUACGAAGGGUGCAAGCGUUAAUCGGAAUUACUGGGCGUAAAGGGCGCGUAGGCGGACAGUUAAGUCGGGGGUGAAAGCCCGGGGCUCAAUCUCGGAAUUGCCUUCGAAACUGGCUGUCUUGAGUACGGGAGAGGUGAGUGGAACUCCGAGUGUAGAGGUGAAAUUCGUAGAUAUUCGGAAGAACACCAGUGGCGAAGGCGACUCACUGGCCCGUUACUGACGCUGAGGCGCGAAAGCGUGGGGAGCAAACAGGAUUAGAUACCCGCGUAGUCCCUGUCUCUUAUAC
Molecule: ribosomal RNA, 301 nt
Filed under: uncultured bacterium
Lineage: Bacteria
Description: partial 16S ribosomal RNA
Rfam family: Bacterial small subunit ribosomal RNA
Source: RNAcentral